Molecule: transfer RNA, 74 nt
Filed under: Microcaldota archaeon
Lineage: Archaea; Nanobdellati; Microcaldota
Description: tRNA-Met
Rfam family: tRNA
About the family: Transfer RNA (tRNA) molecules are approximately 80 nucleotides in length.
Source: RNAcentral
GCCGAGGUAGCUCAGGAGGCUAGAGCGCCAGACUCAUAAUCUGGAGGUCGGGGGUUCAAGUCCCCCCCUCGGCA